GGAAGCGCUCUGCUCCACGGCGGUUCCCACUUCUGCUUUCUGGCUUCUCUUCCUGGGUUUCUCAGUAAGAAGGACAUCUAAUGUGCUUUUCUCCAAGGAAAAGGAACUCAAGAGACUGAUGAUACAGGAAGAGGAUAAAAGUCAGGCACCUGAAAAUCUGAAACGAAUUUAAAAAUAAAGCCAAUGGCCCCUACAUGCACUUGUUCUGUUGGGAAUCUGGUGAAAACCAUACUGACCACGAGGAUGACACAGCCAAGAUGAGGUGGUGCUCGGCAUCCUGGACUGGCGAGCUCCAUCCCGUAAUGGGAGAAAGCAAAGCUUCCUCCACUAGAAACCCUGUGGGAGGGUGGAGGGUGCAGCUCCACACCCAGUGUGUGGUGGGAGCAGGCCACGCAUGCGUCCUCAGCAGCUUCACACAGAGGCUGUCCUGCCUCCCCAGAUGUACAGACUCAGGUCUUGGGAAAACAUCUUAAAUUAAAGCAAUUUCCUAUG
This is a non-coding RNA of Myodes glareolus (Bank vole), 492 nucleotides long. NCBI's taxonomy places the organism in Eukaryota, Metazoa, Chordata, Mammalia, Rodentia, Cricetidae. The record is from RefSeq and is a predicted model, not a curated record.